Molecule: long non-coding RNA, 7555 nt
Filed under: Capsicum annuum
Lineage: Eukaryota; Viridiplantae; Streptophyta; Magnoliopsida; Solanales; Solanaceae
Description: long non-coding RNA (CANN_LNC009865)
Source: RNAcentral
UCCUCAACAUACACUAAUUGUUUGUUUGGUACUCCACAUUAUAGAACAAAAUUAGAACACAUCAUCAAAAGGAAAAUUAUGAGAUAAAAAAUAUAAUCGUCGCAUGGAGAGUAGGGUUGUAAACAAUAAUUUUAAAACAUUCCCUCUAGGUACUUAGAUAAUCUAUCGUUCAUACUCUUGUCAUAACUUAUGACAACCAAGAGAUACGGAUUUCUUUUGGAAAUCACUAUUUAGACGUCUUUAGGACAUCUGUAUAAGUAUCUGCUUGAGAAGAUCAUGCCUUAUAGACACCUUCUUAAUUAUAGGAUAAAGGCUAUACAGACAUGUUCACUUUGGAACACAAAUCCAUUCACAAUACACAUCUUUGAGCUAGGAACUUGGCACUUCUUCCCCUGACAAACGCCUUCACACGGCUCACAACGGGUACUUCACGGCCUCAAACUUUGCCCUUAGAUAUCUUAGAGAUUUAAGAUCUCUGUAUCAACCUUUAACUUAAAUUAAUCAUGGUUUGAGUAUGAUUGAUAAAUAUCUGUUCCCCUUAGGGAACUAAGGUAAACUACUCACACAUAAAUAUAUAAACAAACAAACUUUUAUUAAAAAUAGAAAACUUACAUCUUUUGUUGCGAAUUCUGUUCAUGUUUCUUGAAAUUUUCUAAUCUUUCCCCUGUUAAAUAUUUUUCAAAUUCACUAAUUAUAUUUAUUGUAUAUGUAUUACUAGGUGUAAUAGGACCUUGUGAUUGUUUUUUCAAACUCUGUACUUCUUUUUUCAAUUCUUCGAUUUGUUUUAAUAAAUCUUUUUUCAUUUCUUCAUUUUCCUUCUGAUGUUUCCAUAAUUUGUAAUCUAACGACUGAUCUAAGUCUUGUAUAUAUUUCUUUCUAUCUUCUAAUUUUUCAUUUAUAAUUCGUUUUGCUUCUUCACUAAGUAUAUCUUUUUCCUUAUUUGAAAUAACAUGAUCUGCUUUCAGUAAAAUUUCUUUAUCUUUAUUUGAUAAAUUUCCUAACUUAUUCCAUAAUAAUUUAUUCGUCCAAUUAAGUUGUCUAUGUUCUGCAAAUCCUGCAUCUCCAGAUACUACAUAAGGCAUAAAUGUUGCAUGUGUAUAUGGUGGAUAUUUAAGAUAUGAAUCUAAUGGUAAUCUAUUUUCAUUGAUCUUAUAUGUACGUUCUUCUAAUUCAAGUUUUGUCAGGGGAAGAAGUGCCAAGUUCCUAGCUCAAAGAUGUGUAUUGUGAAUGGAUUUGUGUUCCAAAGUGAACAUGUCUGGAGAUGCAGGAUUUGCAGAACAUAGACAACUUAAUUGGACGAAUAAAUUAUUAUGGAAUAAGUUAGGAAAUUUAUCAAAUAAAGAUAAAGAAAUUUUACUGAAAGCAGAUCAUGUUAUUUCAAAUAAGGAAAAAGAUAUACUUAGUGAAGAAGCAAAACAAAUUAUAAAUGAAAAAUUAGAAGAUAGAAAGAAAUAUAUACAAAACUUAGAUCAGUCGUUAGAUUAUAAAUUAUGGAGACAUCAGAAGGAAAAUGACGAAAUGAAAAAAGAUUUAUUAAAACAAAUCGAAGAAUUGAAAAAAGAAGUACAGAGUUUGAAAAAACAAUCACAAGGUCCUAUUACACCUAGUAAUACAUAUACAAUAAAUAUGAUUAGUGAAUUUGAAAAAUAUUUAACAUGGGAAAGAUUAGAAAAUUUCAAGAAACAUGAACAGAAUUCGCAACAAAAGAUAAGUACAAUUUUAGAUAAUACUUAUAGUAUAAAUAAUAAUUUAGAAAUGAUUUAUAAAGAAGUUAAAAAAUCAGAUCCACCUAGACAUUAUGAAACAAUUAUAGAAACACCAGCUUAUGAAAGAUUUGUACAAAGACAAAAACAAAAAGCUUAUGAGGAUGAAUUAAAAGCAAAGAAAAAUGCUGAAUAUGAAAAAUUUAUAGAAUGGAAAAAACAGCAAAAAAUGUUGAAAGAAAAAGAAAAAAUAGAAAAAGAAGAAGAUAUACCAUUGUUUUUAAGAGAAGAACCAGUACAGAUAAAAGAAGAUACAACAUCACAGUUAUUAGAAAUGAUGAAAGAAAUCAGAAAAGAAUUAGAUGAGAUAAUAGAAAAACAACGUCAGAAAGAAGAAGAAAAAGUAAAUACUAUUCAACAAGAAGAAGAAUUAGAUCCAAAUGAUUUAGAACCAGAAAUGAUAAAAUUAGAAAUAAAUAAAGUAAAAAAAGAAGAUACUGAAGAUGUUCAGCAAGAAAUUUUAUCCGAACAAGAAGAAGAAAUUAUAUCGGAAGAAGAAAUUAUACAACCAGAGGAAUAUAUAAAUGUAAAAAUUGAGCAAGAUGAAUAUAAGUAUCAAGAUGAACCUAGAACUUAUAAACCUAGAGAUCAUUAUUAUCAGGGAGAAAUUAGAAGACAACGAGCAUAUAAAAAACCUAAUUAUAGGAGAACAGAAUAUAUAAAUAAUAGAACAGAAUAAUUUGAACCAACAUAUAAAAGUAAUUUAGAUACAGCAAUAACAGCAAAUGGAGAAAUAUUAAGUUUAGAUUGUGUAACACCUACAGAAGCAGAAGAAAGAAUCCAGAAAUGGACACAAGCAAUGAGUAUACCAAUAGUAAAACAAAAUACGAAUAAUGAGGAUACGAAAAAAUUUAUAGCAUGAACUUUUAUUGGUAAUGUAAAAGAAUGGUAUGAAAAUUUAACUGAAGAUGCAAAAAAUAAAUUAGAUGGACAGAGAUCAUUAGCAACACUACAAUUUUAUGAAUUAGCUAUAAGAGAAGAAUUUGGUAAAUUAGGAAUUAAAACUGAAGUAGAUAAACAAAAUCAGAAACAGAGAAUAGCGAGACAAAAUAUACAACAACUUAUGAUAUGCAAUAUGGCACAUGAAAAUCUUAAAGCUUAUUACUUUGAAUUUUCGGAUUAUUUCCAUAGUGCAGGAUAUACAGCAGAAGAAUUAAAUGGAAUACUUGAUUUAUUUUAUAUAAAGUUGCUUCAACCUUGGGGAGCAACUAUAUUAGAAUCAUUUAAGCAAAAAAUAAAACCAAAUAUUACAAUAGAUAGUUUAGGAAGGAGAAUGGCUUAUUUAGAACAAAGUAUAAGAGAAAAAUGUCAAGAAAAUUGGUUGGCAAAAACAGCUAGAAAAAUAGAUAAAACAAAACCAGAAUUAGAUUGUAAAUAUUAUGAAGUAGGAAAAUAUGGAUGUAGCACAUCUAGAAAUUAUAAAACUAGAAGAAAAUAUAAAAAGAAAAAAUAUAAACCUAUUAGGAGAUACGAUUAUAUAAGACAAGGAAUUAAGAAAAAAUAUAUGAGGAGGAAAAAUUAUCAGAACAAAAAAUCAUGUACUUGUUUUAAUUGUGGAGAAAUUGGUCACAUCAGUACAAAUUGCAAAAAACCCAGAAAAAUUUCAGGGAAUAAUAUAAACAAUAUAUUUUGUUACAAAAUUACGGAAGAACAAGAGAAAGUUGAAUAUCAAUUACAAGAUGAUGAUAUAUUAUAUAUCAGUGAUGAUGAGAUAUAUGAAGAAAUAUUUACAGACAAUGAAUAUAUAGAUACUGAAAAUUGGUAUAGUGAUGAUACCGAUUAUGAAAAUUAUAUAUUUGUGAUUACAGAAGAAAAAGAUACAAAUUUACCAGAAUCAAGUAUAAUUAGAGAAUAUAAUAACCCACAAGAAAGGAAGAUUCAAAAAUUAAUUUUUGAUAAAGAUAAAUACAAUCAAAUUAUUUCAAAAGAUCUAGAUUUAAAGACAAAUGAUAUUUUCAAAAAUGAUCAGAUUAAAAAAUUAUUUCAGAAAGAAAAAAUUGAAUAUUAUGUGAUUUCUGAUCAAGAAGAAGCUAUUGAUAUAAAAUAUACACAAGAAAAAGAUAGAAUUGUUAAUUUACCAUUAUAUAAUCAGAGAAUUUAUGAGAAUGAAAUUUGUAAAAUACCUGAUAAACAUAAGAAUAAAAUAAAAAAUAUUCACUUAGCAGCUACAGAUAUAAUAGUUAAAGCUUAUUUCCAUGAAGGGAUAGAUACACCAUUAGAACUUAUAUUAUGUGAAGAUAGAAUCAAAAGACCAAAAGAAGGAAGCAUAGUAGCAAAAUUAGUAGGAAAUUUAAUAUAUCAACAAGUUAAGUUUAAACAGAUUAUUAAUUAUAGUAUUAGUACAUUAGAUGAAAAUAUGAAAAAAUCAUUAGUAUUAUAUUGAAACAUAAAUGGAAUAGAAAUGGAAGAAGGUAGUAAAAUAUUUAGUAUACAAAUUAGAAAUUUAUAUGUACUUAGUGAAAAACAUAUUAUUAAUAAUAAGAAAAAAAUAUCAGAAUAAUAUAAUCAUUGAACCGCUUUUUCAAGAUGUUAUAAAAGAAAAUGAUAACAGACUUAUUAAAUAUGAGAAACCAACAAAAAAAAUGAAAAGACAAGAGAUGAUUACUUACAGCAAAAGAUUUGGAAAUAUUAUACCCUAUGACAAAGGGAAAAAUAUACAGAUUGAAGAAAGUAUAGAAGAAGAAAGGCAGUUAUAGCCAAGAGGAAGAAAUACAAAUGUAGUAGAUAUACCAAAAAUUAUACACAAAAAAGGUAUGAACCAAUUUCAUAUAAUUGGUAGAAUAAAUAAAAAUUAUUAUGCAAUACUUAUAGAUACGGGAGCAGCAAACUCCUAUAUUAGCCCAGAAAUAGUAAAUAAAGAAAAUAUACAAUUAGUUAAAAGAGAAAAUCCGCUAAUAGCCAAAAAUUGGACAAAUAAUAGUUAUCAAUUUACUGAUAAUGCAAAAUUUAGAUUAGAAAUCCAAGAUUUAGAACGAAAGUAUUAUCCAAUUCAAAUAGAAGGAUUAGUAGAUACAAUCCCAUUACUAGAAAGAGAACAACAAAUAUUAAUAGGAAUGAAUAUAUUAGAGGAAUUAAGACCUUAUUCAUUAACAAGUGACUAUUUAUCCUUAACUUUUAAUUUUAGGAAAAUUAAAAUACCUAGAAUUAAGAAACAUUAUUCAGAAGUUAUAAAAACAGCAGAACAAAUGAGUCAGUUGCAAAAUGAAUAACAUGACUUAUAUGACAAUAAAAAUUAAAAUUUCAGGAUAUAUGAGCAGAAUUUAUCAUGGAUUAUUUGAUACAGGAGCUAAUACAAGUGUUUGUAAAAAGGAAGUAUUACCACCAGAAUUAGGAAAGAAAAUGAAGAAUCUAUAUUAGCAGGUUUUGGAGCAGAAAAUACUAUUACAAAAUAUAAAGCCUUUAAUAUAAAAAUUAUGAUGUCAAAAGAAGAAUUUAUAAUCCCAUCUUUACAUGCCUAUGAAUUAGAUAAUGUUGAUAUAAUAAUUGGAUCAAAUUUUUAUAACAAAUAUAGUCCAAUAAUAAUAGAUAUUCCAAAAAGAUUAAUUCAAUUUACUAAAACAGAUAAAAAAGGAAAUCAUACUAGAUAUUUAAAUUUUCUAGUAAAAUAUCCUAAGGAAAAAAUAUUAGAGCCUUGGAUAAAAGGAAAUAGUAGUUUAACCACAACUAUGAAUUACUUGAACAAUAAACAUAUGAAAAUUGAUGAGUUAUAUUCGGUGACUGAUUACACCAAAUUAGUCGCAGACAAAAAUACAAACCAAGAUUUGGUGAAAUCAGCAUAUGAAUAUGGAUUAUUACAUGUAUACUAUAUAGAAGAUUCAUCACAGAUGAAAAUCUUUGAUGAGGAAAUACAAACAGCAUAUACAAGAUUUCGACAAAUUAGUAAAGCAACACUUAUAUAUAUGAGAAUGUAGUCAACAUUCGCAGAACCACAUGCGAAGGGAAGUAUUAUACCAAAAAUAGAAGCAAUUAAAUUCGGUAUCACAUACCAAAAAAUUAGCUAUGAAGAUGUAUAUUUUCAGAAGAACAUAGAGGACAUCAGAUCAAUGAUUCAGCAGAAGAAGGCAAUACAAAUAUUAAACAUAGCAUCAGAAUUACGAGCUAUGGAAGGAAGAAUUUGGGUAUACACAAACAAUAACAAUAGGAUUAUUUACAGUCCCAAUUGUGGACAAGUUAUGGAGACAUCAGACGAAUGGCAGAAAAAAUUAAUUAGUCCAGAAGUUAACACUCCAAAUGUAAAAUUCAAAAUCCUUGUAUUACUCAGGGAACAUUAAUUAUAAUAUGCAAGAUAGCCAGAAGAAAUAUCCACCUAAAACAUAGUUGCAGCAUUUGCAGCAAGGGCAAAGAAGUAGAAUUUUCAAAACCAAUUCUACCAGAGGAAGCAGGAAUCAGCAUUGAUGAGAUAAUGGAAGAAAAUGUAAGCAAUGACGAAAUUGCUGAAAAGGACAUAAAGAUGAAGGACGUGGACUACAAGAAAACAGCCGAAUAAAGGCAAGUGGCCGACAAAGAAAAAGUUAAAGAUAAGAUAAGAGAUAAGGAGGACAGUUGUAUGGCCAACAGUCACGGACUCCAAAGCUCUAUAGAUUUUAGUUUAUUUUUCUUUCUAUAAAUAGAAUAAUUUGUUUUUGGAAGAGGCAUUGGAAAAUCAUCCACAAUCCGGAAAUCAUCUACAAUCCGAAAUCCUCUCUACUAAUAGUUUUAAGUUUGAAGUUUUCAAGUUUUCAGCAUAUCUUGUAAGUUUUCUAUUUUUAAUAAAAGUUUGUUUGUUUAUAUAUUUAUGUGUGAGUAGUUUACCUUAGUUCAGAUAUUUAUCAAUCAUACUCAAACCAUGAUUAAUUUAAGUUAAAGGUUGAUACAGAGAUCAUAAAUCUCUAACAUAUCUAAGGGCAAAGUUUGAGGCCGUGAAGUGCCCGUUGUGAGCCGUGUGAAGGCGUUUGUCAGGGGAAGAAGUGCCAAGUUCCUAGCUCAAAGAUGUGUAUUGUGAAUGGAUUUGUAUUCCAAAGUGAACAUGUCUGUAUAACCUUUAUCCUAUAAUUAAGAAGGUGUCUAUAAGGCAUGAUCUUCUCAAGCAGAUACUUAUACAGAUGUCCUAAAGACGUCUAAAUAGUGAUUUCCAAAAGAAAUCCGUAUCUCUUGGUUGUCAUAAGUUAUGACAAGAGUAUGAACGAUAGAUUAUCUAAGUACCUAGAGGGAAUGUUUUAAAAUUAUUGUUUACAACCCUACUCGAAAGAUUUGUACAAAGACAAAAACAAAAAGCUUAUGAGGAUGAAUUAAAAGCAAAGAAAAAUGCUGAAUAUGAAGAAUUUAUAGAAUGGAAAAAACAGCAAAAAAUGUUGAAAGGAAAAGAAAAAAUAGAAAAAGAAGAAGAUAUACGUUCUUCUAAUUCAAGUUUUUCAAAUGCUUUACUUUCUGACAUAUUUUAUUCACAAAUAAACAUACAAAUAAAUUAAACCUAAAACUAACUAAAACUAAAAAAUAAACUAAAAUACGAUUAAAACUAAAUUUUAACUAAGCUCUGAUACCAAUAAUGGGGGGAUAUAUACGCACGGAAGAAAGGAUCGAAUGGAGAGUAGGGUUGUAAACAAUAAUUUUAAAACAUUCCCUCUAGGUACUUAGAUAAUCUAUCGUUCAUACUCUUGUCAUAACUUAUGACAACCAAGAGAUACGGAUUUCUUUUGGAAAUCACUAUUUAGACGUCUUUAGGACAUCUGUAUAAGUAUCUGCUUGAGAAGAUCAUGCCUUAUAGACACCUUCUUAAUUAUAGGAUAAAGGCUAUACAGACAUGUUCACUUUGG